AUGAAAACGCUUGGAUCAAGAGAGGCAAAAAUGACAUGGGAAGUCCCUGAUGGCAGCGGGAGGCACAUGGGGACACCGAGCUCAGGGCUGUGUCCCCCACACCUCCAUGCCCCAGGGAUUUUCUCUAUAGCCACAGCCCCAGCUGUUCCACUGUGCUGUUUAUUUCACACGUCCUGCCUGCUCCCAAAAUCAGGAACGGGAGAUGAGAUAGCAUUGGAAGAGUGUUGGAGCCCUUGUGGGUCGUGUCCCAGGCACCCGUGCAGAUGCUGUCCAUCUGAAGUGAAACCUCUCCUUGCCUUGUCGCGCCCUCUUCCCUCCAUACUCCCAUCAUCAGCAACAUCGUUGGUUAUUUCUGGUGCCCAUCUCUCACUCUCGCGGAAGGCGCCACAAGGGGAGUUCACCCGCGAAGGGGCGGGACUUUGUGACGUCAUCACCACACGCCCAGAACCACACCUGACACCUGGUCGCUGCGUGACAGAGCCCUGUGUGCUCUUGGAGGUCUGCAGCCUGUUCCUCCAGGGAGACAAGGAAGUUGACAGCCUCGAAUGCCCCAGCUCUGCUGGAGAUGCAGAUCAGGGCAGAACGCAGGAAGAUGGUUUGGCCUGUGACAUCCCUUACUCUGGACUCUCUGGAUCCUGGGAUGGAAAGCAGGCAUCCUUCAAGGGACAAGCUGUGUCUCCGUGGGACAUGCGUGUACAACAGGACUUUGUUCAGGCACUGAGGAAGCCGAAUGUUCCAUGAUCAUCAGCCUCGAGGUUCUCGGGAAGGACUGUGGUCUGGAGACUGCAGCCCCCAGCCCGGGGAGCUCCGCUGGCUGUCCAUCAAGUCCAGCCUUGACCCGAGCCUGGAAGAGGUUUCGUGCUGCUUGUCGUGUGACCCGGGGACAGUCACUUCCUGUCUCUCGCCAUCACUGCCUCCUGUGAAAAAAUGAAGGCGUUGGAACGGGCAGCCUCUAAGGCAUCUUCCAGACAGAAAGCUCUCCUCUGCUUAUAG
Molecule: long non-coding RNA, 993 nt
Filed under: Oryctolagus cuniculus (rabbit)
Lineage: Eukaryota; Metazoa; Chordata; Mammalia; Lagomorpha; Leporidae
Description: lncRNA (ENSOCUG00000038936.1)
Source: RNAcentral